This is a long non-coding RNA of Canis lupus familiaris (dog), 2217 nucleotides long. RefSeq lists it as uncharacterized. Lineage: Eukaryota; Metazoa; Chordata; Mammalia; Carnivora; Canidae. The record is from RefSeq and is a predicted model, not a curated record. The transcript has 2 exons.
CUCUUCGGAGGACAGGAAGCAGCCCCCAGGCAGCGCAGCAGGACAGCAGGUGCAGGGCAGGGUCCAGGAACUCUGGGAGUUCAAGUCCCUGAGCGAGCUUUACUGAUCAUCUUCACUACACAGAGGUUUGGAUUGGACAGGGCAGCGCAGAAACCCCUGUCAUGCAGUGGGAUGCAGGGGCAGCUCGAAGAACCCCAGCUGGAGGUCACACAUGCCCACCACACUGCAGCAAUGCCACCCUCAUCCAUAAUCUCCAGCUGUUUGGGGCCUUGAGUGCCACUGUCCCUAUGUCAGAGGAGGAGAACACAAGUGACAGUUUCCCGUGCCAGAGAGGCCCGAAGCCAGAGUCUAGACCUGAGUGUCUCAUUCCCACCCCACUGUUCUCUCCUGGGCCCAUCCAGAAAUGGCUCCCAAGCCCAGGUGCUGGCUCUCAGUUGGGACUUUAGAGCAAUCUAAAACAAAAUCCCCGCAAGCUUUUUGUAGAAAUUGGCAUGCAGAAAUGCAAAGGUUAGAGAAUAAAAAAACUUUGGAAAAGAAGAACAAAGUUCAAGGACUAAUACUUUGUGGUUUUUAAGACUUCUUGAAGUGCUACAAUAAAAAAUAGUGUGAAAUUGGUAUAAGGAAUAGACAGGUCAGCAGAACAGAAUAGAAAACCCAGACAUAGACACACAGACAUAUGCAGGCAACUGAUUUUUGACAAAAAUGCAACGGCAAGUCAGUGGGGAAAGGAUGGUUUUUCAACAAAUGGAUUUUCAACAAAUCCGUAGGCCAAAAAAAAAAAAAAAAACCCAACAAAAACAAUAAAAAAGAACUAUGAUUCAUACCUCACACCACAUAUAAAAAUUAAGUCAAAGUGGAUCACAGACCUAAAAGUCAGUCCUCAAACUAUAAAACUUGUAGAAGAAAACAUCAUCUGGAUGUUUACAACAAUCAAAUUCUAAGACAUUUUUAUAUGGGACGCCUGGGUGGCUCAGUGGUUGAGCAUCUGCCUUUGACUCAGGUUGUGAUUCUGGAGUCCCAGGAUCAAGCCCCACAUUGGGCUCCCUGCAUGGAGCCUGCUUCUCCCUCUGCCUGUGUCUCUGCCUCUCUCUUUCUGUCUCUCUCAUGAAUAAAUAAAUAAAAUCUUUUUUUAAAUGAUGUUUUUAUAAAGAUAAAAUACUUGUAAACUUGGGGUAGGUAAAGAUUUCGCAGAUAUGACAUCCAAAGCAUGAUCCAUAAGCUAAAAUAUUCAUAAACCGGAUUUUGUCAAAUUUAAAACUCUUCUUUGAAAGACACGAAGGGAGCAGAGUAACAAACCAUAAACUGGAAGAGAAUCUUUGCAAAUCAUACACCUGAUGAGAGAUUCAUAUCAGAACAUAUAAAGAGCUCUCAAAACUCAACAAAACAAAAACAGUCAAGUAUUUCAAGAGUAACUUCCCCCAAGAAAAUGUACAGAUGGCAAACAAGCGCCUGGAAAGAUGCUCACCACCUGCAAUCAGUAGGGGAAUGCAACACCUGUGCUGAGACACCCUCCACACCUCUUAGAGCGGCUAAAAACAGGAAGAUUGCCCACAGCAAAUGUUGACAAGGAUGUGGAGGGAAUGGAAGUUCUGGGCGCUGCUGGCAGAAAUGGGACGUGGCGUAUCUGCUGUGGAAAACAGUCUGGUGGAGCUUAAAAUGUCAAAUACGUGCCCACCUGGCAACCUGGCCUGGUAUUUACCCAAGAGAAAGAAAAGCAUUAGUCCACAUGAAGACUUGUACACAAAUGCUUGUGACAGCUUCAAGACUGACGGAAACCGGAAGCGUCCAUGGACAGACUGGCAAACAGAUUGCGGUAUAUCCAUUCAGCAGCAUUCUGCUCAGCCACGAAAAGGACGGAGCGAUUGACAUGUGCAAAAAUAUGGAUGAACCUUGGGGUUUUUAUCUGGAGGGAAAUAAGCCAUACCAGAAAGAGGUAUAUAUUCUGUCCAUCCAGGUGAAAUGGUAGAAAAUGCAAACUGAUCUAUAAAGACAGAAUAGGUUAGAGUCGCCUGAGGCUUAGGGCAGGGGAUAGGGAGGUGAGGGGGUGGAUUGCAGGGUGCUCCGGGAAACCUCUGGGGUGAAGGAUGUGUUCUUUGACUUGAACAUGGUGAUGGUUUCACUGGCGGGGGGUACUGUAGUCAAAAUAUUUAAAUAUGGGAAAUCAAUUACACCUUGGUAAAGCUGUCAUGAAAAUUAAAAAUUAAAAUUAUGCAGGAA